This 29-nucleotide small nuclear RNA is filed under the name Cervus elaphus hippelaphus. The record is from RNAcentral. Lineage: Eukaryota; Metazoa; Chordata; Mammalia; Artiodactyla; Cervidae.
GUGCUCGCUUCGGCAGCACAUAUAUUAAA